This 969-nucleotide long non-coding RNA is filed under the name Capra hircus (goat). Its description in RNAcentral is "lncRNA (ENSCHIG00000001698.1)". The record is from RNAcentral. Lineage: Eukaryota; Metazoa; Chordata; Mammalia; Artiodactyla; Bovidae.
CCACAGGCCUCUUCAAAGCAGCUCAGAGCCUGGGCUCAGAGGCUGGAUGCUGCCGCCUGGUUCCAGGCCCCGAAGGUCACGGGCCGGGAGGAGAAGCAGUGUGACCCCAGCGGCUCUCCUUUCUGAGGUCACACCUGCCCCCCAUACACCCCUUCACCUACACUCACACACUCCCCUGGCCCAGCCGUAUGCAGAGGGCCCACCUCCCACCACUGAGGCCUCCGCCAGUGCUGCCACCCUGCCCAGCUCUUGCGAGCCCCAUCUCUCCCUGCUGACCAGGAGGAGAGGGGAGAAGGGCUGAAAUCUGUGUGCCGCGGCCCUGGACUGCCCUCCGGGGAAGCAGCUCAGCCCUUCCAGGCUGAAGCGGGGGUUUCAAGGGAGGAACAUUCCCAAAGCCAGCCCAGGAGGCCUCAUGAGAGACCCUGGCGCCCCAGCACUGCGCUCUCUGCCUCUCCUGGAGCCUCCCCCGCAGCAGGCUAAGGCGGAUCCUGAGCAGCUUAUUCUGAAAAGGAUCACACUCAGGAAGCUGCGGUGGAGACGUAGCUUUGGGAAUCGAGCUGGAGCAGCAGCCAGGGACAGGCACCCAGAGAGGUCCUGGGCUCAUCUGGGGAAAGCUUGUAGCUCCGCCCCUGCCGUCCCCUGGGAAAAGCGGAAGAAGGAAACCAGCCCCAGAGGCCUGCCAGAGACGGCUCCUGAGCCCAGCUCUGUCCUAGAGGGAAUCCAGUAGCCCCUCCCACCAUCCAUGAGACCAGCACGGGGGGACUGCAGGAAUUACAGUCAACACAACUGUCACUGGCUGCCCAAGAAUUCUUGGGGCUGAGGGAGGGGACAAGGGAACAAACGAAAUCUUAGAGGAGAAGGACUCUCGGGUUGUGGGAAAGAAGAAAAGGGAAUUAGGGGCCAUGCUCCCCGCCCCUUCCCAGUGAUGGCAGCAGUGUGGUCAGGGCACUGAGAGGGUGUGGUGCCAGG